This 339-nucleotide unclassified non-coding RNA is filed under the name soil metagenome. RNAcentral's name for it is "partial contains 5.8S ribosomal RNA, internal transcribed spacer 2, and large subunit ribosomal RNA". The stretch from base 1 to 120 matches the Rfam family "5.8S ribosomal RNA", at positions 35 to 154 of the family's 154-position model. The record is from RNAcentral.
GAUGAAGAACGCAGCGAAAUGCGAUAAGUAAUGUGAAUUGCAGAAUUCAGUGAAUCAUCGAAUCUUUGAACGCACAUUGCGCCCGCCAGUAUUCUGGCGGGCAUGCCUGUCCGAGCGUCAUUUCAACCAUCAAGCCCCCGGGCUUGUGUUGGGGACCUGCGGCUGCACGCAGGCCCUGAAAACCAGUGGCGGGCUCGCUGUCACACCGAGCGUAGUAGCAAUCACCUCGCUCAGGGCGUGCUGCGGGUUCCGGCCGUUAAACAGCCUUACAAAACCCAAGGUUGACCUCGGAUCAGGUAGGAAGACCCGCUGAACUUAAGCAUAUCAAUAAGCGGAGGA